GCUUUUUUAGUAUAAGGAGUAUGUUUACCUUCCAAGUAAGAGGUUUAGAGAUUAAAAAAAGUA
This 63-nucleotide transfer RNA is filed under the name Emplectonema gracile. RNAcentral's name for it is "tRNA-Gly". The record is from RNAcentral. Lineage: Eukaryota; Metazoa; Nemertea; Enopla; Monostilifera; Emplectonematidae.